This 95-nucleotide transfer RNA is filed under the name Trichophyton mentagrophytes. RNAcentral's name for it is "tRNA-Pro". RNAcentral also lists the same sequence under 2 other names. The record is from RNAcentral. Lineage: Eukaryota; Fungi; Ascomycota; Eurotiomycetes; Onygenales; Arthrodermataceae.
GCCCGGGUGGUCUAGUUGGCUAUGAUUCUCGCUUAGGGCCUUAACCCUAAGUACUUGUAUGCGAGAGGUCCCGCGUUCGAAUCGCGGCUCGGGCC